CAUUACAGAGUUCAUGCCCUCACGGGUAGAUCUCCCACCCUUGAAUACUAUACCUUUGUUGCUUUGGCGGGCCGCCUUGGCUACUGGCUCCGGCUGGUAAGUGCCCGCCAAAGGACCCCAAAACUCUGAAUAUUAGUGUCGUCUGAGUACUAUAUAAUAGUUAAAACUUUCAACAACGGAUCUCUUGGUUCUGGCAUCGAUGAAGAACGCAGCGAAAUGCGAUAAGUAAUGUGAAUUGCAGAAUUCAGUGAAUCAUCGAAUCUUUGAACGCACAUUGCGCCCCUUGGUAUUCCGAGGGGCAUGCCCGUUCGAGCGUCAUUAUAACCCCUCAAGCCUAGCUUGGUGUUGGGGCCUGCUGUUACCGGCAGCCCUUAAAAUCAGUGGCGGUGCCAUCUGGCUCUAAGCGUAGUAAUACUUCUCGCUAUAGGGUCCCGGUGGAUGCUUGCCAUCAACCCCUAAUUUUCUAUGGUUGACCUCGGAUCGGGUAGGGAUACCC
Molecule: ribosomal RNA, 496 nt
Filed under: uncultured Ascomycota
Lineage: Eukaryota; Fungi; Ascomycota
Description: eukaryotic LSU rRNA
Rfam family: 5.8S ribosomal RNA (bases 165-318)
Source: RNAcentral